Molecule: ribosomal RNA, 267 nt
Filed under: uncultured prokaryote
Description: partial 16S ribosomal RNA
Rfam family: Bacterial small subunit ribosomal RNA
Source: RNAcentral
CGGAGGUUCCAAGCGUUGUUCGGAAUUACUGGGCGUAAAGGGAGCGCAGGCGGGCAAGUCAGUCUGAAGUGAAAUCCCGGGGCUCAGCCUCGGACUUGCUUCGGAUACUGCUUGUCUUGAGUUCGUGAUAGGAAGACGGAAUUCAGGGUGUAGCGGUGAAAUGCACAGAUAUCCUGAGGAACACCGGUGGCGAAAGCGGUCUUCUGGCGCGAAACUGACGCUGAGGCUCGAAAGCGUGGGUAGCAAACGGGAUUAGAUACCCUGGUA